CUGUGGACAGGCCUCUGUCUCAUCCUCAAUGGUCAGCUGAGGCAUCUGGUAAAACCUCUCCUUCUGAUCCAGAAUCUGGUACAGCUGCCAUGAUGAACAACAGCUCAAGAGGCUCUUUCCCUACCAGGGUGAUGGAUGAAGGCUAGCAAACUGUUCUCCAAGAGCCUGA
Long non-coding RNA from Cebus imitator (Panamanian white-faced capuchin), 169 nucleotides. RefSeq lists it as uncharacterized. The record is from RefSeq and is a predicted model, not a curated record. NCBI's taxonomy places the organism in Eukaryota, Metazoa, Chordata, Mammalia, Primates, Cebidae. The transcript has 3 exons.